Molecule: signal recognition particle RNA, 97 nt
Filed under: Bifidobacteriaceae bacterium
Lineage: Bacteria; Bacillati; Actinomycetota; Actinomycetes; Bifidobacteriales; Bifidobacteriaceae
Description: signal recognition particle sRNA small type
Rfam family: Bacterial small signal recognition particle RNA
About the family: The signal recognition particle (SRP) is a universally conserved ribonucleoprotein involved in the co-translational targeting of proteins to membranes. Archaeal SRP consists of a 7S RNA and homologues of the eukaryotic SRP19 and SRP54 proteins.
Source: RNAcentral
UCAGACCCCUCGUGUGGCGGCAUCUCGCUGAACUCCCCCAGGGCCGGAAGGCAGCAAGGGCAGGCGGGCUCUGUUGGGUACACGGGGGGUCGUGCCU